AGAGAUGCAUUGGGCGUAAAGCGUGCGCAGGCGGUUUUGUAAGACAGAGGUGAAAUCCCCGGGCUCAACCUGGGAACUGCCUUUGUGACUGCAAGGCUGGAGUGCGGCAGAGGGGGAUGGAAUUCCGCGUGUAGCAGUGAAAUGCGCAGAUAUGCGGAGGAACACCGAUGGCGAAGGCAAUCCCCUGGGCCUGCACUGACGCUCAUGCACGAAAGCGUGGGGAGCAAACA
Molecule: ribosomal RNA, 230 nt
Filed under: uncultured Alicycliphilus sp.
Lineage: Bacteria; Pseudomonadati; Pseudomonadota; Betaproteobacteria; Burkholderiales; Comamonadaceae
Description: partial 16S ribosomal RNA
Rfam family: Bacterial small subunit ribosomal RNA
Source: RNAcentral